Molecule: ribosomal RNA, 464 nt
Filed under: uncultured bacterium
Lineage: Bacteria
Description: partial 16S ribosomal RNA
Rfam family: Bacterial small subunit ribosomal RNA
Source: RNAcentral
CUACGGGGUGCAGCAGUGGGGAAUAUUGCACAAUGGGCGCAAGCCUGAUGCAGCCAUGCCGCGUGUAUGAAGAAGGCCUUCGGGUUGUAAAGUACUUUCAGCGGGGAGGAAGGGAGUAAAGUUAAUACCUUUGCUCAUUGACGUUACCCGCAGAAGAAGCACCGGCUAACUCCGUGCCAGCAGCCGCGGUAAUACGGAGGGUGCAAGCGUUAAUCGGAAUUACUGGGCGUAAAGCGCACGCAGGCGGUUUGUUAAGUCAGAUGUGAAAUCCCCGGGCUCAACCUGGGAACUGCAUCUGAUACUGGCAAGCUAGAGUCUCGUAGAGGGGGGUAGAAUUCCAGGUGUAGCGGUGAAAUGCGUAGAGAUCUGGAGGAAUACCGGUGGCGAAGGCGGCCCCCUGGACGAAGACUGACGCUCAGGCGCGAAAGCGUGGGGAGCAAACAGGAUUAGAUACCCUAGUAGUC